RNAcentral lists this ribosomal RNA (492 nucleotides) under uncultured bacterium. RNAcentral describes it as "partial 16S ribosomal RNA". It matches the Rfam family "Bacterial small subunit ribosomal RNA", at positions 30 to 507 of the family's 1533-position model. The record is from RNAcentral.
AGUGAACGCUGGCGGUAGGCCUAACACAUGCAAGUCGAACGGCAGCACAGUAAGAGCUUGCUCUUACGGGUGGCGAGUGGCGGACGGGUGAGGAAUACAUCGGAAUCUACUUUUUCGUGGGGGAUAACGUAGGGAAACUUACGCUAAUACCGCAUACGACCUACGGGUGAAAGCAGGGGAUCUUCGGACCUUGCGCGAUUGAAUGAGCCGAUGUCGGAUUAGCUAGUUGGCGGGGUAAAGGCCCACCAAGGCGACGAUCCGUAGCUGGUCUGAGAGGAUGAGCGGCAAGACGGGAAUGGAGAGACGGUCCAGACGCCGACGGGAGGAAGAAGUAGGGAAUCGUGCGAAAUGGGCGAAAGCCGGAAGGAGAAACGGCGCGGGAGUGAGGAAGGUAGUCGGAUCGGAGAACUCUGGUAUUAGGGAAGAAAAAAAGCGUAAGUAACUGUGCACAUCUGGACGGGACCUAAUCAGAAAGGAAGGGCUAACUAAGUG